Molecule: ribosomal RNA, 489 nt
Filed under: uncultured bacterium
Lineage: Bacteria
Description: partial 16S ribosomal RNA
Rfam family: Bacterial small subunit ribosomal RNA
Source: RNAcentral
GAUGAACGCUAGCGGGAGGCCUAACACAUGCAAGCCGAGCGGGAUUUGUUGGUUAGCUUGCUAACUAACAAUGAGAGCGGCGUACGGGUGCGUAGCACGUGUGCAACCUGCCUUUAUCUGGGGGAUAGCCUUUCGAAAGGAAGAUUAAUACCCCAUAACAUAUUGAUUGGCAUCAGUUAAUAUUGAAAGCUCCGGCGGAUAGAGAUGGGCACGCGUAAGAUUAGCUAGUUGGUGAGGUAACGGCUCACCAAGGCUGCGAUCUUUAGGGGGCCUGAGAGGGUGAUCCCCCACACUGGUACUGAGACACGGACCAGACGCCUACGGGAGGCAGCAGUGAGGAAUAGUGGACAAUGGGUGAGAGCCUGAUCCAGCCAUCCCGCGUGAAGGACUAAGGACCUAUGGUUGGUAAACUUCUUUUAUACAGGGAGAAACCUACUCUCGGGAGGGUAGCUGAAGGUACUGUAUGAAUAAGCACCGGCUAACUCCGUG